GCUUAUCGAAAUUUUAGGUCAGGCUUAUAUUUGGUUUUCUCGAUGUGGGUUGGAGUCACCUUAUGAACGGGUUGGAUGACACCUCCCAGUUCCAAUGUCAGGAAUCCCCCAUCCAUACCUUUCACUGUGGUGUGGCCCACUUGAACUUUGGAUUGACCUGAUUUUUUGGCGUAUGUACUGUAAAAUGAUGGAUUAAGUGGAUGUCACACACACCUUCUUUUUUCUCUCUUUUUGGGUUAUGCUCUGUUUCAGCAAUUUGGACAGUCUGGAUUGCGGGACAAUUAUGCCAUGUGUAUGAUUGAAUAGGAGUGGCAAUGGCUGUGGCCCAGUCGUGUAUGGACAGGGCUUGGUCCCCUUGGCCUGAGGCCGCCCCAGCUUGAAAAGGGUAUAGCCAAAUUUAAACUCUUUGAUCAUCUGAGCAAUGAAACGGUAGAAAUCUUUAAAUAUGGAAGAUUCUCCAAGUUCCUAAAUGUAGGGUGAGGCGAAUCACAUCGACUAUUUGGAUAAAUGAAAAGGACCCGUCUAAUUGUUGGAUCCGAUUCUUAAGUCGGGUGUUGUGAUUGCAUGCCAAAUCGAGCUUAUGUAUUUAUCAGGUCGAUUCAUGUAUUUGGAACUUGCUUGGAUGACUUUUUAUGUAUAAAAAUUUCCACUCCUUCAAUCUAGUAUGCCUGCUAAGGGCCCAUUUGGGUACCA
This is a long non-coding RNA of Magnolia sinica, 693 nucleotides long. RefSeq lists it as uncharacterized. The record is from RefSeq and is a predicted model, not a curated record. NCBI's taxonomy places the organism in Eukaryota, Viridiplantae, Streptophyta, Magnoliopsida, Magnoliales, Magnoliaceae. The transcript has 2 exons.